Molecule: ribosomal RNA, 460 nt
Filed under: uncultured bacterium
Lineage: Bacteria
Description: partial 16S ribosomal RNA
Rfam family: Bacterial small subunit ribosomal RNA
Source: RNAcentral
CCUACGGGGGGCAGCAGUGAGGAAUAUUGGUCAAUGGACGAGAGUCUGAACCAGCCAAGUAGCGUGAAGGAUGACUGCCCUAUGGGUUGUAAACUUCUUUUAUAUGGGAAUAAAAUGUUCCACGUGUGGGAUUUUGUAUGUACCAUAUGAAUAAGGAUCGGCUAACUCCGUGCCAGCAGCCGCGGUAAUACGGAGGAUCCGAGAGUUAUCCGGAUUUAUUGGGUUUAAAGGGAGCGUAGGUGGAUUGUUAAGUCAGUUGUGAAAGUUUGCGGCUCAACCGUAAAAUUGCAGUUGAAACUGGCAGUCUUGAGUACAGUAGAGGUGGGCGGAAUUCGUGGUGUAGCGGUGAAAUGCUUAGAUAUCACGAAGAACUCCGAUUGCGAAGGCAGUUCACUGGACUGCAACUGACACUGAGGCUCGAAAGUGUGGGUAUCAAACAGGAUUAGAUACCCUUGUAGUC